UAAGGAAUAUUGGGCAAUGGGCGGGAGCCUGACCCAGCCAUGCCGCGUGCAGGAAGACGGCCUAUGGGUUGUAAACUGCUUUUAUACGGGAAUAAGUACUGUAUGAAUAAGCAUCGGCUAACUCCGUGCCAGCAGCCGCGGUAAUACGGAGGAUGCGAGCGUUAUCCGGAUUUAUUGGGUUUAAAGGGUGCGCAGGCUGAUAUAUAAGUCAGUGGUGAAAUUCCCCGGCUCAACCGGGGGACUGCCGUUGAUACUGUAUAUCUUGAGUGUAGUGGGCUUUGGCGGAAUGUGUCAUGUAGCGGUGAAAUGCAUAGAGAUGACACAGAACACCGAUAGCGAAGGCAGCUGACGAUACUUACACUGACGCUCAUGCACGAGAGCGU
Molecule: ribosomal RNA, 383 nt
Filed under: uncultured bacterium
Lineage: Bacteria
Description: bacterial SSU rRNA
Rfam family: Bacterial small subunit ribosomal RNA
Source: RNAcentral